CUGAAGUUCGAGUCCAGAAUGAUUCAGUCUAACAUUGUCUCUCCUCCUGUAGCGGCACCUUUUUUCUGGCCUGAUACGUGCCGGUGCCAAGCUGAAGGAGCUGGACCUGAGUGACAAUGCCCUUGGCCCCGUGGGGGUGGAGGGCAUGGUUGGACUUCAUGUCGUUCCCCCGUCUGCUAUUCCCUGCAGGAGCUGAGACUAAACAACAAUGGACUUGGCAUUAAGGGAGGUACUAUGCUUGCUGAGUCUCUUAUGAGGCUGGUGGAAAUGCAAAAGCUGCUGGAACUCCACUAGCUCUUAAGGUAUUUAUAGCUGGUCGCAACAGGCUUGAGAAGGAAGGUGCAAAAGGUUUUUGCAAAAUUCUUCAAGGCUGUAGGCACUUUGGAAGAAGUUGCCAUGCCUCAGAAUGGCAUCUUCCAUGGGGAU
This is a long non-coding RNA of Penaeus monodon (black tiger shrimp), 426 nucleotides long. RefSeq lists it as uncharacterized. NCBI's taxonomy places the organism in Eukaryota, Metazoa, Arthropoda, Malacostraca, Decapoda, Penaeidae. The record is from RefSeq and is a predicted model, not a curated record. The transcript is spliced from 3 exons.